This 375-nucleotide unclassified non-coding RNA is filed under the name uncultured bacterium. Its description in RNAcentral is "contains 16S-23S intergenic spacer region". The record is from RNAcentral.
UCCGACUACGGAUUGACGAUCUUCGAUUUCUGCGAGGCCUCGAUUACCGCGGCCGAGGUGGCCUCAGCCAGCGCGAACGACGGUCAACCGCUCGACGCGCAGGCGGCGACAGCGAUCGCCGGCGCGAUCACGGAUUGGUUGAGUCCCCUGCCAUCGUCAAAGCCGACGCCCAUUGUCGCUGAUCUCGACCUCGUUUAUCACACUGUGAAGGCCGCGAUCACGCCAACGACAACCAUACCGGCGCGCCUCGCGAAACGCAUCAAGACGCUGGCCGGCGUUCACGCCAAGGGCGAGCUGGGAUUGCUGGAGUCUGAAGUCGAGUUCCCGCAACCGAUGUAUGAGCCACUCGCGGCGAUCUCGCAGGAUCUCAUUGUG